Nicotiana tabacum (common tobacco) is the source of this 261-nucleotide non-coding RNA. The record is from RefSeq and is a predicted model, not a curated record. Lineage: Eukaryota; Viridiplantae; Streptophyta; Magnoliopsida; Solanales; Solanaceae.
UAUCCAUUGAAAAUAACUUGAAAGAUCAUAGCAAUAAAUCUGGAGGGGUAAGACCAUAUGUUAGAUCCAAAAUGCCGAGACUCAGAUGGACACAAAAUCUUCAUCGCAGCUUUGUGCAUGCAGUUGAGAGACUUGGCGGAGAAGAUCGAGCAACUCCAAAGAUGGUGCUACAAUUAAUGGAUGUGAAAGGCCUGACCAUAUCUCACGUAAAGAGUCACCUUCAGAUGUACAGAAGCAUGAAGCAUGAACAGAUGAUACAAG